RNAcentral lists this non-coding RNA (85 nucleotides) under chicken gut metagenome. RNAcentral describes it as "Purine riboswitch". The stretch from base 18 to 83 matches the Rfam family "Purine riboswitch aptamer", at positions 20 to 86 of the family's 102-position model. Rfam says of the family: Riboswitches are metabolite binding domains within certain messenger RNAs that serve as precision sensors for their corresponding targets. Allosteric rearrangement of mRNA structure is mediated by ligand binding, and this results in modulation of gene expression. The record is from RNAcentral.
AACAGAAAAGAAACGACCUCAUAUAAUUUCGCUUGUAUGGUGCGAAAGUUUCUACCGGGCCGCCGAAAGGGCCCUGCUAUGAGUG